This 492-nucleotide ribosomal RNA is filed under the name uncultured bacterium. RNAcentral's name for it is "partial 16S ribosomal RNA". It matches the Rfam family "Bacterial small subunit ribosomal RNA", at positions 29 to 507 of the family's 1533-position model. The record is from RNAcentral.
AGUGAACGCUGGCGGUAGGCCUAACACAUGCAAGUCGAACGGCAGCACAGUAAGAGCUUGCUCUUACGGGUGGCGAGUGGCGGACGGGUGAGGAAUACAUCGGAAUCUACUUUUUCGUGGGGGAUAACGUAGGGAAACUUACGCUAAUACCGCAUACGACCUACGGGUGAAAGCAGGGGAUCUUCGGACCUUGCGCGAUUGAAUGAGCCGAUGUCGGAUUAGCUAGUUGGCGGGGUAAAGGCCCACCAAGGCGACGAUCCGUAGCUGGUCUGAGAGGAUGAUCAGCCACACGGGAACUGAGACACGGUCCAGACUCCUACGGGAGGCAGCAGUGGGGAAUAUUGGACAAUGGGGGCAAGCCUGAUCCAGCCAUACCGCGUGGGUGAAGAAGGCCUUCGGGUUGUAAAGCCCUUUUGUUGGGAAAGAAAAGCAGCAGGUUAAUACCCCGCUGUUCUGACGGUACCCAAAGAAUAAGCACCGGCUAACUUCGUG